UUUGCCAUGUUCUGUUUCGAAAUUCGUCUCCAAAAAGAUACAGGAAAAAAAUCAGAAAGUAAGAACACUGCAACUGGAAAGGAAGAUGAGCUAGUUCCAAGGACGCGGUGAGCUUUGUUUUUUUAUUACGCCUAACUAUUAAGAACAAGAAUGAAGUAAAAAAUAAGAAGACAAGCGUUCUUCAGCCUGAGCUCCAGAUUUUUAUAGACAGCUGC
RNAcentral lists this non-coding RNA (215 nucleotides) under Corethron hystrix. The record is from RNAcentral. Lineage: Eukaryota; Bacillariophyta; Corethrophyceae; Corethrales; Corethraceae.